GUCGAUUUGGAUCUUGUUUCCUCUUUCUUUGUCACCCGUUUCUUUUGCCGAGUCUUUAAAUCACACUGACUGAUUUGUGCGAGAAGGAUCAAUAUCAGGCAGGAGCAUAUAAUAAGUCUACACUCUCUCUUCCCACUUGCUUCAUUUGAAUAAAUCUCCCUGGAUCUGCUGUUGGAUAGUUAAUGCUAUGCUCAGUUGGUGAAAAAGCCAAGUUAUUGGAAAGACAAGAAGUGCUUGUUUUGUCUGGAUCUUCGUCUUGGGUCCCAGUGACACCUUUCCCUUGACACGUCACAUCUCGAGGCCAGGUCAUAAACUACACCAUCGUGAGCAGAAUUCGCCUGGGCGCACUCGAGUGUUGAUAAAGAAAUAAAAGAGACCAGUGUCUGAACUGAGGAGGAAGGCAAGAUGAAAUUACCCCUGAGUACGUGAUACGUGUGCACGUCUGAGGUUGAUCUCGCUUCAAGUCACGUGAGCAGAGGGGGGAGAGCCGAUCGGGGUUCCAAGUUCUCCCGAACAGUUCCGAGAGCGAUGCAAUUCAUGACGUCAUUGUGGCUGUGCCUGGUGUGCAUGGUAGCCCUGAUCCACCUUACCAAGGCUAUGCCUGAAAGGUUACGCAUAGGUGGCCUGACGAGACUGCAGGAGGUGCUCAAAGCGGCAGAGCGGACCCCUGCACAGAUCACGGUCCGGAAGCUGGAGAUGGUCAACUCGGACUACCUGGUACUGCUGAAAGAACUUCAAAAUCGUGGGGAGUACAGGUUCAUCGUAGACUGUAACGUCAAGACAGUCACAAGGUUUUUGCACGCGGGUCUGAAGUUGAAAAUGAUCUCAGAGCUAUAUCACUUUUUCUUCACUACUUUGGACUUGGGUCUGCUCGAUCUGAGCGACUACAUGCACGGUGGGGCUAACAUCACGGCCUACCGGCUCAUAGACCCAGACAGAGAGAAAGUCAUCAGUGUGAGAACCUCUUGGCUUUUCCGUUCAAAGAUUGGGGACAAAUCACCGCUUAUGGAGUAUUCAGAAAUAGAUACCGAGACUGCUUUAGCCUACGACGCCUAUGUUCUCUUCGCAAAGGCUCUGCACUCCUUGUCAGAAGCCCAGGAGGUGAAUACCAUUAGCCUGCCUUGUGACAAAGUGCACACCUGGAGAUAUGGAAACAGCUUAUUGAACUACAUGAAAGCGGUGA
This 1183-nucleotide small RNA is filed under the name Aplysia californica (California sea hare). RNAcentral's name for it is "glutamate receptor subunit protein GluR7". Lineage: Eukaryota; Metazoa; Mollusca; Gastropoda; Aplysiida; Aplysiidae. The record is from RNAcentral.